This 492-nucleotide ribosomal RNA is filed under the name uncultured bacterium. RNAcentral describes it as "partial 16S ribosomal RNA". It matches the Rfam family "Bacterial small subunit ribosomal RNA", at positions 29 to 507 of the family's 1533-position model. The record is from RNAcentral.
AGUGAACGCUGGCGGUAGGCCUAACACAUGCAAGUCGAACGGCAGCACAGUAAGAGCUUGCUCUUACGGGUGGCGAGUGGUGGACGGGUGAGGAAUACAUCGGAAUCUACUUUUUCGUGGGGGAUAACGUAGGGAAACUUACGCUAAUACCGCAUACGACCUACGGGUGAAAGCAGGGGAUCUUCGGACCUUGCGCGAUUGAAUGAGCCGAUGUCGGAUUAGCUAGUUGGCGGGGUAAAGGCCCACCAAGGCGACGAUCCGUAGCUGGUCUGAGAGGAUGAUCAGCCACACUGGAACUGAGACACGGUCCAGACUCCUACGGGAGGCAGCAGUGGGGAAUAUUGGACAAUGGGCGCAAGCCUGAUCCAGCCAUACCGCGUGGGUGAAGAAGGCCUUCGGGUUGUAAAGCCCUUUUGUUGGGAAAGAAAAGCAGCAGGUUAAUACCCCGCUGUUCUGACGGUACCCAAAGAAUAAGUACCGGCUAACUUCGUG